GGCUCCGUAGCUCAGCCCGGUUAGAGUACUGGACUCUUAAUCCAGGUGUCGCGGGUUCAAAUCCCGUCGGGGCCA
This 75-nucleotide transfer RNA is filed under the name Candidatus Pacearchaeota archaeon. Its description in RNAcentral is "tRNA-Lys". It matches the Rfam family "tRNA". From Rfam's summary of the family: Transfer RNA (tRNA) molecules are approximately 80 nucleotides in length. Their secondary structure includes four short double-helical elements and three loops (D, anti-codon, and T loops). Lineage: Archaea; Nanobdellati. The record is from RNAcentral.